AGAAUCAACGCUGGCGGCGUGCCUAACACAUGCAAGUCGCACGAGAAAGGGGAGCAAUCCCUGAGUACAGUGGCGCACGGGUGAGUAACACGUGAAUCAUCUACCUCCGAGUGGGGAAUAACUGAGAGAAAUCUUAGCUAAUACCGCAUAACACUUACGAGUCAAAGCAGCAAUGCGCUUGGAGAGGAGUUCGCGGCAGAUUAGUUAGUUGGCGGGGUAAUGGCCCACCAAGACGAUGAUCUGUAUCCGGCCUGAGAGGGCGCACGGACACACUGGAACUGAAACACGGUCCAGACUCCUACGGGAGGCAGCAGUGGGGAAUUUUGCGCAAUGGGGGAAACCCUGACGCAGCAACGCCGCGUGGAGGAUGAAGCCCUUUGGGGUGUAAACUCCUUUCGAUCGGGAAGAUAAUGACGGUACCGAUAUAAGAAGCCCCGGCUAACUUCGUGCCAGCAGCCGCGGUAA
Molecule: ribosomal RNA, 465 nt
Filed under: uncultured bacterium
Lineage: Bacteria
Description: SSU rRNA
Rfam family: Bacterial small subunit ribosomal RNA
Source: RNAcentral